This 1083-nucleotide long non-coding RNA is filed under the name Apteryx haastii (Great spotted kiwi). Its description in RNAcentral is "lncRNA (ENSAHAG00000017368.1)". The record is from RNAcentral. Lineage: Eukaryota; Metazoa; Chordata; Aves; Apterygiformes; Apterygidae.
GGAUUUCAGGGGUGACCUCAUCGUGGGUUUGGGGGUGACAUCACAGCCCCCGCGGGCGCUGCUGUCCUGCCCCCCCCCCACACGCACUGGGGGGCACCGGCUGUGCCGGUGUGGAUGCGCUGCUGGGGGCUGCUGCAGCACCCCCAGGCCUGGCACAGCUCAUCACAUGGGGCAAUGCCCUGCGCACCGAGGGGUGGAGGGGGCACGGCCGUCCCUGCCCCCCCCCCCAGCCCCACAUGGUGGUGGGGAGCUGCUGAAUGGAUCCUGCUGUCACUGGGCAAACUGGCCACGGCCCCCCUGCGCUGCCUGUGCAGCGAGUUUGCUGGGCCUCAGCCCCCGCGGGGCCACAGGCUGGCGAGCGCUGGCUCCCGGCUGUGUGACGGUGGUGGGGGAGGACGACACCGCCUCCAGCUCGGGGCAGGAAUUUCCCUCCUGGCCCCAUGGUGGGAAAUCCCCAGCCCAGGAUGCGGGACCUCCCGGGUGGCUCCGCAGCAUCUCCGGGACCAUCCCGGCCCCGUCCAGGGGCCGAGUGCCGGCCCCAGCACAGCUGGAGCCAGGUCCUGCGUCCCCCAGGGGCUGUGGGGCAGGGGGGAACCAGCCCCGGGAGCCGCCGUGGGUCAGGGCCGGGGAGGCCCCCGCGUCAGGGGCCCCUUUCGGGGAGGCCCCGGGGAGCAGCGCUCCAAGAGGGACCGAUUCUGGGACCUGGAUUUGGGAGGCCGCUGGGCACGGGGGUCCAGGAGGGACCCGGUUUGGGGAGGCCCUGGGGCGCACAGCCCUGCAAAGGACCCGCUCUGGGGACCUGGUUUGGGAGGCCGCGGGGGACACGGUGCGGGGACCCGGUUCGGGGACCCGGUUCGGGGCAGCCCCACGGUGCAGGGGUCCAAGAGGGACCUGUGUGGAGGACCCGGUUCGGGGGGAACCAGGGCACGGGGAGGCCCCGGGGCUGGGGCUGGGGUUGGGAAAGGGACCUGCCCCAGGGACCUGGUUUGGGGACGGACGCAGUGGGGGCCGUGGCCGGGGCGGCCCCGGUUGGGGGUCCCGGUUGUGGUGGCCCUGGCUCGGCGUCCUUGNNNNNNNNNNNNN